AUGCGUGCGUGCGUGCGUGCGUGCGUGCGUGCGUGUGUGCGUGCGUGCGUGCGUGCGUGCGUGUGUGUGUGUGUGUGUGUGUGUGUGUGUGUGUGUGUGUGUGUGUGUGUGUGUGUUAAAGAGCCACUUGCAGGUUCUGGGUUGUCUGUGGGUCCAGAGAGUGGGUCUGUCUUCGCCCUACGACUCUUUACAGACUGCUAUAGCGAGUACGCUGUAGUUCCUUUGAUCCUGCGGACGGUGGACAUCAAAGACUCCAAGACACUGAACUAACCUAGGCUGAUUCCAUUUGAAAGCACCCGGCCUGUUGAUGACCUGGAAUCGCCAUCCCAUGAUACCAUCAUCACCACGGUUACGUCGGUACAAAGCAGAGGACUGGAAGACAGAUAGGUGUCAGGGAUCUCCGUAUCCCCGGUGACGGUAAACAGAUCCAUCAAGUGUGACUUACACUCAGGUGAAAUUGGAGCUUCACAGAGAAAGGCAGAGCAAAAGCUAUACACAGGCCUACACACAAACACAAGCUACAAACACACACACAAACACACACGCUUGGCAAAGAUGGCAACCAAUGUCGAGGAAUCAAAACCCAUCAAUUUUGUGAGUCAAGAUGAAAUCUGGUGAGUUUACUAUUUUAUUAUGGUGUUGUUAUCUUUUUAAUGCUGUGUGAUGUAUGAAUUGUAAUGGUUAUUUAUAAGAAAUGUAGAUCAUUCAUUUGCAAUGUAAGAUGCCCUUGUUCUAGUUUUAACACACACAUUCAUUGGUUUUAUGCUUUUGUAAUAUUGGUAUUAGUAUCAUUAUAACUUUUGGUAAAUAUUCAAAGACUGCUGAGGAAAAGUAUUGAGGACAGCUGGCUAACAAAUCCACACAAAUACAUUAGAGGCGGAACAACAUUAAACAAAAUAUUCAAAGCUUGUGUUUAAGAGAGGCACUUUAAUUGCAAGAAUAGGGCUUGCUCCUUAAUAUGUAGAUGUCUCUCAGGGAUAGGAGUGAAUUAAAGUGAGUUAUCUAUGUGUCGAAGCUCUAACUAUGCGUUGUUUGUCAUUUACCUCAAAACUGAAACAUUAUUGUUGUUUAUGUGUGGGUAUGUUUUUGUGUGGGUGUGUCUGUGGGUGCGGGUGUGUGUGUGUGUAGGAAGACACGUCUUAAGGUCGAGAAAGAGUCAUCCAAAAUCUGGCCUCAUAAGUGGGGCUUUCUCUCAGAAGUCUAUAUAGAGGUAUCUACACAAACAAACACACACACACACACACACACACACACACACACACACACACACACACACACACACACACACACACACACACACACACACAUACACACACACACGCACACACACACACACACACACAGUGCGGAGUGCAUUUAUUGCCACUAUUACUUAAAUACCACUCGCAUUUCAAAAAGCAAGAAUUAUCUAUACACUUAUCUAUGAACAGCAAACUAAAUUCAAAUCAGUGAACAAUAUUUAUGCUUUGGAGAUUUUUUUUAAUUAUACAUUUUUUAAUAUUCUGC
RNAcentral lists this long non-coding RNA (1506 nucleotides) under Gadus morhua (Atlantic cod). Its description in RNAcentral is "lncRNA (ENSGMOG00000022962.1)". The record is from RNAcentral. Lineage: Eukaryota; Metazoa; Chordata; Actinopteri; Gadiformes; Gadidae.